AUUGGUUCAGUUUAACAGAGGGUACUGCAGACGUGCAUCCCAACGGGUGCCUUCACUCAUGAACAUACUCGCUGUAACAAGUUGCAACCCUGGAGCGCAUUAUUGACGAUGACUGAACGUAUCUGAGGAAGCGGGCUUCGCUGCUCAUACAGAAGCUUGUAGAGAGGUCGAGCGACUCGCGCAAGGCCGUUCGAAAAGCACCACGUCCAUACGGACAGUUCGGUAAGCCUCGACGCACAACAAUUCUUGGAACGUCGCUGUACAUACCGACGGUUCCGGGGAAUUGCACGUCUUGCACGGAAGUUCGUUUUCCUAAACACACGAAGUUAUACCGAUGUCCCGCAACCAAGCGGUGCCAAGGCCAGUUUCUCGCCCGGGCCUCGAGCUUCAGGGCCACAGCUGAGACGCCUUUCAAACCUCUCCCAGCAGGUUUGCUUAUGCACAGGCUUUCUCAAGUGGCUCCGAGUCUUGCCAUCAGCUCAGUUGGAAGCCUGCAGCCGACGGUGGCCUCCGCGUCCCGGCAAGUAAACCAAAGACCGGGCAGGGACUCGCGUCGCUCCAAGUUGUCUACGAAGACCAGCGUGUUCUUUCGCGUUCGCUGCAGCGCUUCCUGCAGCUACGAAUGCUGCAAAGCACGCAUGAGGAGGUCUUACAGGGGUAUGCGGGAAUCCCAUGGCAAAGGGUUAGCUUUUGAUUGACGUUUCUUUCCCAAUAGCGGGAGCAUGCACUUGGAGGUAGUCCACGAGCAUGACGCAAUGUGUAUGGAGAGCGCUCGCGACCCAUACCUGCAUACUGGCUUACACUGCGCAACCAGCCUCUCGGUGUUCGUAGCGCACCGCACCAGCAACUGAGGAAAGCAUACCAGAACGUAGUUUGCGCGACCGCUGCAAACAUUGAUUGUUCAAGGACUAUGCGGGGAGUACGCUACCGAGCCGAGGGACGGAAACAACACAUGCCGUCGUCUGCCGCCGCGAGGAUAGCAGGAUACCACUCUCCUCAAAGUGAGCCGCUAUUCCAGGCAGUCGUAUCAGGGCCAGUGUGAUAAACAACGACCUGAGAAACGCCAGAAAGCGCUUGAUAAUCGUCAUCGUCACUGGAGUCAGUAUCACAGGAACGGCGCAUGCUCUUUUGAAGAUGAUUCCGACCACUACGCAGUCAUAUCAGGGCCACUGUGAUAAACAACGACCUGAGAAACGCCAGGAAGCGCUUGAUAAUCGUCAUCGUCACUGGAGUCAGUAUCACAGGAACGGCGCAUGCUCUUUUGAAGAUGAUUCCGAAAGAAGUUCGCUAGGGCUGCAGAGGAAGCCUCUCUGUCUCUGGGCUUAACGGUACUUUCAGCUUGCGAUGCUGACUCCUUUUCUAUUCGCAGUUGGGCGCUGGGCAUCGUGCUAUGCGGGUCCAGGCUCUGACCUGCCGAAUCAUUAUGGACAGCGUCAGAAAGCUCGGGAACAUGCUCCACUGAGGUACGAAUGCCAUCACAGACCUCAUCUCUGCAAGUUUCCACCGCACAAGUGCUUCUCCGAAGCUCAUGGGAACU
This is an RNA transcript of Cyanidioschyzon merolae strain 10D, 1537 nucleotides long. RefSeq lists it as hypothetical. The record is from RefSeq and is a predicted model, not a curated record. The transcript has a single exon. NCBI's taxonomy places the organism in Eukaryota, Rhodophyta, Bangiophyceae, Cyanidiales, Cyanidiaceae.